RNAcentral lists this transfer RNA (59 nucleotides) under Clostridium beijerinckii. Its description in RNAcentral is "tRNA-Lys". It matches the Rfam family "tRNA", at positions 8 to 63 of the family's 71-position model. Rfam says of the family: Transfer RNA (tRNA) molecules are approximately 80 nucleotides in length. Their secondary structure includes four short double-helical elements and three loops (D, anti-codon, and T loops). Further hydrogen bonds mediate the characteristic L-shaped molecular structure. tRNAs have two regions of fundamental functional importance: the anti-codon, which is responsible for specific mRNA codon recognition, and the 3' end, to which the tRNAs corresponding amino acid is attached (by aminoacyl-tRNA synthetases). tRNAs cope with the degeneracy of the genetic code in two manners: having more than one tRNA (with a specific anti-codon) for a particular amino acid; and 'wobble' base-pairing, i.e. permitting non-standard base-pairing at the 3rd anti-codon position. The record is from RNAcentral. Lineage: Bacteria; Bacillati; Bacillota; Clostridia; Eubacteriales; Clostridiaceae.
UAGCUCAGUCGGUAGAGCACAUGACUUUUAAUCAUGGUGUCCCGGGUUCGAUUCCCGGG